RNAcentral lists this ribosomal RNA (422 nucleotides) under uncultured archaeon. RNAcentral describes it as "partial 16S ribosomal RNA". It matches the Rfam family "Archaeal small subunit ribosomal RNA", at positions 323 to 746 of the family's 1478-position model. The record is from RNAcentral.
CUACGGGAGGCACCAGGCGAGAAAACUUUGCAAUGUGCGAAAGCACGACAAGGUUAAUCCGAGUGGUUUGUGCUAAACGAACCUUUUGACAGUCCUAGAAACACUGUUGAAUAAGGGGUGGGCAAGUUCUGGUGUCAGCCGCCGCGGUAAAACCAGCACCUCAAGUGGUCAGGAUGAUUAUUGGGCCUAAAGCAUCCGUAGCCGGCUCUGUAAGUUUUCGGUUAAAUCUGUACGCUCAACGUACAGGCUGCCGGGAAUACUGCAGAGCUAGGGAGUGGGAGAGGUAGACGGUACUCGGUAGGAAGGGGUAAUAUCCUUUGAUCUAUUGAUGACCACCUGUGGCGAAGGCGGUCUACCAGAACACGUCCGACGGUGAGGGAUGAAAGCUGGGGGAGCAAACCGGAUUAGAUACCCCCGUAGUC